AGCAGCCGCGGUAAUUCCAGCUCCAAUAGCGUAUAUUAAAGUUGUUGCAGUUAAAAAGCUCGUAGUUGAAUUUCGGGAUCAAUAUAUCGGUCGUGCCUUGGUACGUACUGGUAUCAUUGGUUUCUCCUUUCUGACGAACCAUGAUGUCAUUAAUUUGGUGUUAUGGGAAGUUAGGACUGUUACUUUGAAAAAAUUAGAGUGUUUAAAGCAGGCUUUGGCUUGAAUACAUUAGCAUGGAAUAAUGAAAUAGGACGUUCGAACCUAUUUUGUUGGUUUCUAGGAUCAACGUAAUGAUUAAUAGGGAUAGUUGGGGGCAUUAGUAUUCAAUUGUCAGAGGUGAAAUUCUUGGAUUUAUUGAAGACUAACUACUGCGAAAGCAUUUGCCAAGGAUGUUUUCAUUAAUCAAGAACGAAAGUUAGGGGAUCGAAGACGAUCAGAUACCGUCGUAGUCUUAACCAUAAACUAUGCCGACUAGGGAU
This 479-nucleotide unclassified non-coding RNA is filed under the name uncultured Glomus. RNAcentral's name for it is "SSU rRNA". It matches the Rfam family "Eukaryotic small subunit ribosomal RNA", at positions 569 to 1053 of the family's 1831-position model. The record is from RNAcentral. Lineage: Eukaryota; Fungi; Glomeromycota; Glomeromycetes; Glomerales; Glomeraceae.